Molecule: ribosomal RNA, 996 nt
Filed under: Globodera rostochiensis
Lineage: Eukaryota; Metazoa; Nematoda; Chromadorea; Rhabditida; Heteroderidae
Description: partial large subunit ribosomal RNA
Rfam family: Eukaryotic large subunit ribosomal RNA
Source: RNAcentral
GAGUGAACUGGGAAGAGUCCAGCGCUGAAUCACUUCUCCUCUGGGGUCGUGAGGUGUAGCGUACAGACCGUGAGCUUGGAUUGGCCUGCUUGUUCAAGUUUCCCUUGACCGGGGCUCCAGAGAAGGUGCAAGACCUGUCCAACGAGUGGUUGCCUAUCCAUCUUCGCGUGUCUUGGAGUCGGGUUGUUUGGGAUCGCAGCCCAAAGUAGGUGGUAAACUUCAUCUAAGACUGAAUACGGCCACGAGUCCGAUAGCGAACAAGUACCGUGAGGGAAAGUUGCAAAGCACUUUGAAGAGAGAGUUAAAGAGGACGUGAAACCGAUGAGAUGGAAACGGACAGAGCUGGCGUAUCUGGUCUGCAUUCAUCCGUGUGUUCUUGGGCGUUUGGAUUGCCACUCUCCAGACUGGGAUGGUGUUCAUUCUGUUCAGGGGCUCAUGGAGCAUUUGCAGGCGGAGUGCGCUGAGAUGCUCGGAGCAGCUGCAUGAGCUUGGCUUUGAGGCCAGCCCUUCGGGGUCUGGUACCCGGGCUGUGGGAGUGCUGUUUGUUCUGGGUGCUGAGUGUGUGCAAUGGCAACGGGUCCGUGUUGGUUUGAGCUGGCGGUCGGUGGCGGUCGCGUGCGACACGUGCCAGCAGUCAGUUCGGUCCUGCUCGGGCUCUCAUUGCAUGUUCUCGGUGUAAAAGCCGGUCAUCUGUCCGACCCGUCUUGAAACACGGACCAAGGAGUUUAGCGUGUGCGCGAGUCAUUGGGAGUUGAAAACCCAAGGGCGUAAUGAAAGUGAAGGUCUCCUUGCGGAGCUGAUGUGUGAUCUCGUGCACCCCGGUGUGCGGGCGCAACAUAGUCCCGUCCCGAUCGCAUGCGAUGGGGCGGAGACAGAGCGUACGCGCUGAGACCCGAAAGAUGGUGAACUAUUCCUGAGCAGGAUGAAGCCAGAGGAAACUCUGGUGGAAGUCCGAAGCGAUUCUGACGUGCAAAUCGAUCGUCUGACUUGGGUAUA